RNAcentral lists this ribosomal RNA (492 nucleotides) under uncultured bacterium. RNAcentral's name for it is "partial 16S ribosomal RNA". It matches the Rfam family "Bacterial small subunit ribosomal RNA", at positions 29 to 507 of the family's 1533-position model. The record is from RNAcentral.
AGUGAACGCUGGCGGUAGGCCUAACACAUGCAAGUCGAACGGCAGCACAGUAAGAGCUUGCUCUUACGGGUGGCGAGUGGCGGACGGGUGAGGAAUACAUCGUAAUCUACUUUUUCGUGGGGGAUAACGUAGGGAAACUUACGCUAAUACCGCAUACGCCCUACGGGUGAAAGCAGGGGAUCUUUGGACCUUGUGCGAUUGAAUGAGCCGAUGUCGGAUUAGCUAGUUGGCGGGGUAAAGGCCCACCAAGGCGACGAUCCGUAGCUGGUCUGAGAGGAUGAUCAGCCACACUGGAACUGAGACACGGUCCAGACUCCUACGAGAGGCAGCAGUGGGGAAUAUUGGACAAUGGGCGCAAGCCUGAUCCAGCCAUACCGCGUGGGUGAAGAAGGCCUUCGGGUUGUAAAGCCCUUUUGUUGGGAAAGAAAAGCAGCAGGUUAAUACCCCGCUGUUCUGACGGUACCCAAAGAAUAAGCUCCGGCUAACUUCGUG